Molecule: ribosomal RNA, 442 nt
Filed under: uncultured bacterium
Lineage: Bacteria
Description: partial 16S ribosomal RNA
Rfam family: Bacterial small subunit ribosomal RNA
Source: RNAcentral
CCUACGGGAGGCAGCAGUGGGGAAUAUUGGGCAAUGGGCGCAAGCCUGACCCAGCAACGCCGCGUGAAGGAAGAAGGCUUUCGGGUUGUAAACUUCUUUUGUCAGGGAAGAGUAGAAAACGGUACCUGACGAAUAAGCCACGGCUAACUACGUGCCAGCAGCCGCGGUAAUACGUAGGUGGCAAGCGUUGUCCGGAUUUACUGGGUGUAAAGGGCGUGUAGGCGGGUUGACAAGUCAGAUGGGAAAUCCUGCGGCUUAACCGCAGAACUGCAUUUGAAACUGUUGAUCUUGAGUACUGGAGAGGCAGACGGAAUUCCUAGUGUAGCGGUGAAAUGCGUAGAUAUUAGGAGGAACACCAGUGGCGAAGGCGGUCUGCUGGACAGCAACUGACGGUGAGGCGCGAAAGCGUGGGGAGCAAACAGGAUUAGAUACCCUAGUAGUC